Molecule: long non-coding RNA, 367 nt
Organism: Asterias rubens (European starfish)
Lineage: Eukaryota; Metazoa; Echinodermata; Asteroidea; Forcipulatida; Asteriidae
Exons: 2
Source: RefSeq, a predicted model, not a curated record
CAAUGCGACUUAUAGCUCAUUUCGUUGUGACAGGUCACAUAAUAUGUACAGUAAUUCAUGAAUCCGUUUAAAGCUACAGGCCUGUUGAGUAUAACACAGCCCCUUGGAACCUAACCUUCCUAAAACCUCUACAUCCUCUUUGCUGAAAUAAACGAUUCAGAAGGACUUUACACCGCAAUAACAAUAUUGUACCAGGGCUGUGUUUUGAGAACGUUGCAUGGAGGGACGUCUCGUCUUCUUGGUCACGUUGCAUGCUGAACCAAAUUAAGAGUCGCAAUGGGACAGGGUGAAGAAGCAAGUACAUGAAGAGCGCCCUCAAGAGUUUGCUCCUCCACAGCAGUACAACUGGAUGAUGCCAUCGAUGAGA